Molecule: ribosomal RNA, 491 nt
Filed under: uncultured bacterium
Lineage: Bacteria
Description: bacterial SSU rRNA
Rfam family: Bacterial small subunit ribosomal RNA
Source: RNAcentral
GAUGAACGCUAGCGGCAGGCCUAAUACAUGCAAGUCGAGGGGCAGCACGGUAGCAAUACUGGUGGCGACCGGCGCACGGGUGCGUAACGCGUAUGCAAUCUACCUCUAACUGGGGGAUAGCCCGGAGAAAUUCGGAUUAAUACCCCAUAGUUUAUUUGGGUGGCAUCACUCGAAUAAUAAAGAUUUAUCGGUAAGAGAUGAGCAUGCGUACGAUUAGUUAGUUGGUGAGGUAACGGCUCACCAAGACGAUGAUCGUUAGGGGGUCUGAGAGGAUGAUCCCCCACACUGGUACUGAGAUACGGACCAGACUCCUACGGGAGGCAGCAGUAGGGAAUAUUGGUCAAUGGGCGAGAGCCUGAACCAGCCAUGCCGCGUGCAGGAAGAAGGCCCUCUGGGUUGUAAACUGCUUUUGACAGGGAACAAAGAGUCCAUGCGUGGAUAAAUGAGUGUACCUGUAGAAUAAGCACCGGCUAACUCCGUGCCAGCAGCCG